RNAcentral lists this ribosomal RNA (450 nucleotides) under uncultured Glomeromycotina. RNAcentral describes it as "SSU rRNA". It matches the Rfam family "Eukaryotic small subunit ribosomal RNA", at positions 569 to 1025 of the family's 1831-position model. The record is from RNAcentral. Lineage: Eukaryota; Fungi; Glomeromycota.
AGCAGCCGCGGUAAUUCCAGCUCCAAUAGCGUAUAUUAAAGUUGUUGCAGUUAAAAAGCUCGUAGUUGAAUUUCGGGAUCAGUUGGUCGGUCGUGCCUCGGUACGUACUGGUCAAAUUGAUUCCUACCUUCUGACGAACCACGAUGUCAUUAAUUUGGUGUCGCGGGAAAUCAGGACUGUUACUUUGAAAAAAUUGAGUGUUUAAAGCAGGCUCGCGCUUGAAUACAUUAGCAUGGAAUAAUGAAAUAGGACGUUUGAUUCUAUUUUGUUGGUUUCUAGGAUCGACGUAAUGAUUAAUAGGGAUAGCUGGGGGCAUUAGUAUUCAAUUGUCAGAGGUGAAAUUCUUGGAUUUAUUGAAGACUAACUACUGCGAAAGCAUUUGCCAAGGAUGUUUUCAUUAAUCAAGAACGAAAGCUAGGGGAUCGAAGACGAUCAGAUACCGUCGUAGUC